AACGAACGCUGGCGGCAUGCCUAACACAUGCAAGUCGAACGAAACCUUCCGGUCUAGUUGCGCACGGGUGCGUAACGCGUGGGAACCUGCCCUUAGGUUCGGUAUACCUCCCCUAAAGGGGUGCUAAUACCGGUGAAUCUCUUCCGACCAAAGAUUUAUCGCGUUUGGAUGGGCCCGCGUUAGAUUCGCUAGUUGGUAGGGUAAAAGCCUAGCAUGGAGGCGAUCCAUAGCUGGUGUGAGAGGAUGAUAAGCCACACUGGGACUGAGACACGGCCCAGAAUCAUACGGGAGGGAGCAGUAGGGAAUAUUGGACAAUGGGCGAAAGUCUGAUAAAGCAACGCCGGGUGAGUGAUGAAGGCCGUAGGGUUGUAAAGCUGUUUUAGACGGGAUGAUAAUGACAGUACCGGGAGAAUAAGCGCCGGCUAACUACGUG
RNAcentral lists this ribosomal RNA (433 nucleotides) under uncultured bacterium. RNAcentral's name for it is "partial 16S ribosomal RNA". It matches the Rfam family "Bacterial small subunit ribosomal RNA", at positions 29 to 507 of the family's 1533-position model. The record is from RNAcentral.